ACUUUUUUUUCCCCUCGAGAGGAGGAAAGCGACGGAGACGAGCGAGGCUUCCGAGAGGCGAAUUACAAGCCCCCAAUCGCACCUCCCGGAGAUGCGAACAAUUCCCUCACGCAAUCAAAGAAACGUCAGAAUCCAAAUGAAACCAUAGAAUUCAUAACUCUCAAAACUCUGCAUUCUUUUCAGUAAUACUAAAGUCACAGUUGAGCACACAGCCUUCACAAUGAAGGAACUCUUCGGAAAAUUACCAGAUAUCAUGGCAUAAAGAUACACACUGCAAAUUGUAUAUUGUGACAUUGCUUUCAAGCCAGGAAAGCAUAUUUUAUCUUCAUAAUGGUCAGCGGUAAAACACAAGUCAGCAAUAUUUGCCAAAUUGGGCAAUGGAGGAGACUCGAGACCAGACCGGUGACCACAGCUCUUUUAUUUAGAGUGAGACUUCAGCAAAGAUACAGGCAGGAUGCUCUUCUUUUAUACACUCCUGGGGCCAGGGAAAUUCCUUUUUUCCGGUUUGGACUAGAGUGAAUAACCCUAAAUUCCAGCAUAGGAGCCAAAUGCUGUUUUCCAUUACUGAAAAAAAUAAAGGUCUGGCUUUUAUUUGGGACUUGAUAGGUCUUUCGGUUUCCAUUCCUGCGUGAAGGUCUAGGCACAGUCUAAAUUGCUGAACUUUGUUGUUGCUGUUGUUUGGCCUUUCAGCUCUUGCAGGUGGGAUUUCAGACCCGAUACCUACUUUAUGUGACAAGCAUGCUUUCUGGGUGUACAUUGGUCAUGCUACAGUUUCAUGGCUUUUCAACUUCUCCACAAGUGGACGCAGGAAUUCUACUCCAACUGUCUCCACUCCAUCUUUAUUCAGAUCAUUAGAGAGAACUGUAGGGUGUCAGGAUUCCAAGUAAUGGAUCCAUCGCGAGCAAAAACUCCAAGGCAGGUGGAUUCCUCAAAUAAUAACUUUAUUGGAAAUAUCAAAUUGGCACAUAUCUGGUGAAAACCAGCUCUGAAGGGCCCCUUGGUUUUCACCUUAUUAAAAGUGAAAGUUUUUCCCUCAACCCCAAACUAUCAGUCACAAUCAAGGCAGCAUUCACUGGUCUGGUGACAUCACUCCUCCUUCCUCCAGCCAGGUGUGAGAAGUCCUUGUUUCCCAAGGGAAAGUAUUUUAUUUUGACUACACAACCCCAGCUAUCUCUAAUCUCCCCCUCCCUAUCCCUUGCUCCAGGUUGGCAGCACUGAAGCUCCAAGAUGGCUUUGGCCAGGUCAGCUUCAGAGUUGACAUACAGUGCUCUUGGAAAUAAAUAGGGUUGAAAUGUAAAAUUUGUUACUACCGGUUCUGUGAGUGUGGCUUAGUGGUGGUGGGGGUAAUGUGACUGGGUGGGAGUGGUGAACUUUUUUUUUAACUUUUAAAAGCAUUUUUUCUACAACCUCUUCUGCUGAAGAGGUUGUAAAAAAAUCCUUUUAAAAGCCUGUGAUGAUCAGGCAACUUAGCUGGGAUUGCCAGAGGAAAAAAAGCUUUUAAAGGGUUCUGACAAUCCCAGCUGAGUUGCCUGAUCACAAGAACCUUUUAAAAGCAUUUUUUCUACAACCUCUUCGGUUGAUUUUUAUAGUAUUGUAUUUAUAAGAGCCGAGGUGGCACAGUGAUUAGACCGUAGUACUGCAGGCUACUUCUGCUGCCUGCAAUUUGGCAGUUCAAAUCUCACCAGGCUCAAGGUUGACUCAGCCUUCCAUCUUCCGAGGUAGGUAAAAUGAUGAUCCAAAUUGUUGGGAGCAAUAUGCUGACUCUGUAAAACGCUUAGAGGGGGCUGUAAAAUACUGUGAAGUGGUAUAUAAUAAGUGCUAUUGCUAUUGCUAUAUUAUUAGGUUUUACAUAGGUCUGUCUUUUAAUAUUGUAAGCCGCCCAGAGGUACCAUGCAGUAAGAUGGGCAGAUAAUAAAUUUUACAAUUAAAUAAAUUCUUAAAAUGGGAUGAAAAUUGGUCUUUUUUUUUUUAAUCCCACUCAAAAAAAUUUGUUUAACAUGGACAAACAGUGUUUCUCAAUCUCGGCAACUUUAAGAUAGCUGGCUGAUGAAUUCUGGGAAUUGAAGGCCACACAUCAUUAAAUUGCUUGGGUUGAGAAAUAAGGUCCUAAACCAUUUGCCAUGGACACAGCACACUGUAAUUUAUUGAUGCACAGAAAUCACUGUCGGGGAAAAGAAGAAACAAAACUCAAACAAUUAUUUUGCUAAUCUACUACAUGCAAUCUAGUAGAUAACAAUAUCCAUCAAUAGUAUGGAAGAUUCUUUUCCAUAUUAAAAUUCCAUAUUACCUUUGAAUAAUCUCAGAACUUUGGCUUUCUGGGUUAAAAAAGAAUUUAUUUAAAGCACAAUACUGUAUCACAAUCUGCAAGCAGAUCUGAGUUCUGCUGUUUAAAAUUUACAGACUUCUCUGAAGUACGAUUGUUUCAGGGAAAAACUUCGAACAAACAAGCCUCAAAUAAAUCAACAAACAGAACACUCUCAGUUCUGAGAGGGGCAGGCAAAAGUGUUCUCCCUAUAUAUUGUGGUUUCUUAAAGAAUAUUUACUGCAAUUUAUUUGUUGUUAAAUGCUUACAUCUUGUUUCUUUUCUACAAUUGCAUGUAAGUGUUUGUGACACGAACGCUAUUUUAAAAAGAAUCCUAAUUCUUGUUUGCCCUUUAAAAAUUGUAGCUAUGAGACUAUGUGCGUAGGAAAGAAUGACCACCAUUCCUUCAUCACUGAGUGUGGUCCUUGACAUGCAGGUUCAUGUCCAGGUCAGAGUUAGACAACAUGAAAUUGGUUUCUGAUUUGAUCUUCAGUUUCAAAGUCUCAGUAUCUUUAAAAGG
Long non-coding RNA from Ahaetulla prasina, 2822 nucleotides. RefSeq lists it as uncharacterized. Lineage: Eukaryota; Metazoa; Chordata; Lepidosauria; Squamata; Colubridae. The transcript is spliced from 6 exons. The record is from RefSeq and is a predicted model, not a curated record.